ACAUGUAGGUAUCUGCCCUUUGGCCUGGAAUAACAUGAGGAAACUUAUGCUAAUACCGGAUAAGUCUUUACGGAGAAAGCUUUAUGCACCAUUGGAUGAGCCUGCACUUGAUUAGUUUGUUGGUGGGGUAAUGGCCUACCAAGACUGUGAUCAAUAGCUGAUUUGAGAGGAUGAUCAGCCACAUUGGGACUGAGACACGGCCCAAACUCCUACGGGAGGCAGCAGUGGGGAAUCUUGCACAAUGGAGGAAACUCUGAUGCAGCGAUGCCGCGUGAGUGAAGAAGGCCUUUGGGUUGUAAAGCUCUUUCGUCGGGGAAGAAAAUGACUGUACCCGAAUAAGAAGGUCC
This 347-nucleotide ribosomal RNA is filed under the name uncultured Pseudomonadota bacterium. RNAcentral describes it as "bacterial SSU rRNA". It matches the Rfam family "Bacterial small subunit ribosomal RNA", at positions 113 to 494 of the family's 1533-position model. Lineage: Bacteria; Pseudomonadati; Pseudomonadota. The record is from RNAcentral.